Molecule: ribosomal RNA, 299 nt
Filed under: Synalpheus cf. biunguiculatus KMH-2014
Lineage: Eukaryota; Metazoa; Arthropoda; Malacostraca; Decapoda; Alpheidae
Description: partial 16S ribosomal RNA
Source: RNAcentral
UAGCAUAAUCAAUAGUCUUUUAAUUGGAGGCUUGAAUGAAAGGUUUGACGGAAAGGGAGCUGUCUCCUUAGUUUAUUUUGAAUUUAACUUUUGUGUGAAAAGGCAUUAAUAGUAUAGAGGGACGAUAAGACCCUAUAAAACUUAACAUAUAUAUCUAUUUCUUGGAUUUGUUUAGUAAUCAUAGAGUAGCUAGGUGUGUUUUGCUGGGGCGGCAUGAAUAUAAUUUGUAACUGUUUAUAAGAUAAAAUAUAGAUAUAUAGAUUUUGGUCCUUUAUUAAGGAGUGAAGAUUAAGUUACUU